GCUUGUCUCAAAGAUUAAGCCAUGCAUGUCUAAGUAUAAAUCUUUUACUUUGAAACUGCGAACGGCUCAUUAUAUCAGUUAUAGUUUAUUUGAUAGUCCCUUACUACUUGGAUAACCGUAGUAAUUCUAGAGCUAAUACAUGCAUUAAACCCCGACUUCUGGAAGGGGUGUAUUUAUUAGAUGGAAACCAAUGCGGGGUAACCCGGAAUAUGGUGAUUCAUAAUAACUUUCGGAUCGAUUUAUCGAUGCAUCAUUCAAGUUUCUGCCCUAUCAGCUUUGGAUGGUAGGGUAUUGGCCUACCAUGGCUUUAACGGGUAACGGAGAAUUAGGGUUCGAUUCCGGAGAGGGAGCCUGAGAAAUGGCUACCACAUCCAAGGAAGGCAGCAGG
RNAcentral lists this ribosomal RNA (388 nucleotides) under uncultured Chrysophyceae. Its description in RNAcentral is "partial small subunit ribosomal RNA". It matches the Rfam family "Eukaryotic small subunit ribosomal RNA", at positions 30 to 432 of the family's 1831-position model. The record is from RNAcentral. Lineage: Eukaryota; Chrysophyceae.